AGUGAACGCUGGCGGUAGGCCUAACACAUGCAAGUCGAGCGGCAGCACAGUAAGGGCUUGCUCUUACGGGUGGCGAGUGGCGGACGGGUGAGGAAUACAUCGGAAUCUACUUUUUCGUGGGGGAUAACGUAGGGAAACUUACGCUAAUACCGCAUACGACCUACGGGUGAAAGCAGGGGAUCUUCGGACCUUGCGCGAUUGAAUGAGCCGAUGUCGGAUUAGCUAGUUGGCGGGGUAAAGGCCCACCAAGGCGACGAUCCGUAGCUGGUCUGAGAGGAUGAUCAGCCACACUGGAACUGAGACACGGUCCAGACUCCUACGGGAGGCAGCAGUGGGGAAUAUUGGACAAUGGGCGCAAGCCUGAUCCAGCCAUACCGCGUGGGUGAAGAAGGCCUUCGGGUUGUAAAGCCCUUUUGUUGGGAAAGAAAAGCAGCAGGUUAAUACCCCGCUGUUCUGACGGUACCCAAAGAAUAAGCACCGGCUAACUUCGUG
RNAcentral lists this ribosomal RNA (492 nucleotides) under uncultured bacterium. Its description in RNAcentral is "partial 16S ribosomal RNA". It matches the Rfam family "Bacterial small subunit ribosomal RNA", at positions 29 to 507 of the family's 1533-position model. The record is from RNAcentral.